AAUAAUAGAAUGACGUUCGGCUGUUUUUUAGAUGUGUUGGUUGUGCAUUCAACGCGUGGACGCAUCUUGUUCGGCCGUCUAGAAUAGUUUGUAAAUGAAAUUUUAUCACCGUAGUCAUAGUUCAUGCGAGCAGCCAUAGUUCAUGCUGGCAACAAAGUCAACGACUUGCAUAUAUAUACCAUCCUACAGAAUGAUCAAUCCCUCAAAUCUCUCGCUGUCAACAAAACCAGCGGACAACACCCUUGCGAGGCUUUAAAAUAAACCUCAAGUUUUGUUGUCGUCAACUCAACCAGCGGUCGACACACUUGCCAACCUUCAAAAAGAACGGUCAUAGUCCACGGCCAAGCCCUCCCUAGUUCAUGUCGUGUUGGUCGAACAUCUUCUUUUGUCGGCUAUCGAACUAACUUAUUCUCCUCCAAGACAUGUUGGUCAAGUCCACACUCAUGAUUGCUAACACAACCUCUUUUUCUUUGGUCUCGGCAUUGGUGGCCUCGAUCGCAAGCUUCUUUAUUUGGGUGUCCUCCUCAAUGUCGAGCUUCCUCUUCUUGGC
RNAcentral lists this long non-coding RNA (550 nucleotides) under Hordeum vulgare. Its description in RNAcentral is "long non-coding RNA (HVUL_LNC018608)". The record is from RNAcentral. Lineage: Eukaryota; Viridiplantae; Streptophyta; Magnoliopsida; Poales; Poaceae.